Molecule: long non-coding RNA, 233 nt
Organism: Sebastes umbrosus (honeycomb rockfish)
Lineage: Eukaryota; Metazoa; Chordata; Actinopteri; Perciformes; Sebastidae
Exons: 3
Source: RefSeq, a predicted model, not a curated record
UAAUUUAAUGAUUCAGGAAGUUAUUUGCCAAUUAUUAUCUAUUUAUCAGCAGACAUGGGAAUAAAGCAUAUCAAUUAACUUUUUAUUCUUUUUCCUGGAAAUGUAUUAAAUUAAUUACCAGUUAUUGAGAAAUAGCAGAAUCUAAUUAUUAAAUAAUGUUUAUAAUAAAGUAGUUUUCGAUAAAUUAUGAUGUAAAUAUAGGGGGUAAUUUGUCAGUAAUUCCAAAGAAAUUU